Molecule: ribosomal RNA, 491 nt
Filed under: uncultured bacterium
Lineage: Bacteria
Description: partial 16S ribosomal RNA
Rfam family: Bacterial small subunit ribosomal RNA
Source: RNAcentral
GUGAACGCUGGCGGUAGGCCUAACACAUGCAAGUCGAACGGCAGCACAGUAAGAGCUUGCUCUUACGGGUGGCGAGUGGCGGACGGGUGAGGAAUACAUCGGAAUCUACUUUUUCGUGGGGGAUAUCGUAGGGAAACUUACGCUAAUACCGCAUACGCCCUACGGGUGAAAGCAGGGGAUCUUCGGACCUUGCUCGAUUGAAUGAGCCGAUGUCGGAUUAGCUAGUUGGCGGGGUAAAGGCCCACCAAGGCGACGAUCCGUAGCUGGUCUGAGAGGAUGAUCAGCCACACUGGAACUGAGACACGGUCCAGACUCCUACGGGAGGCAGCAGUGGGGAAUAUUGGACAAUGGGCGCAAGCCUGAUCCAGCCAUACCGCGUGGGUGAAGAAGGCCUUCGGGUUGUAAAGCCCUUUUGUUGGGAAAGAAAAGCAGCAGGUUAAUACCCCGCUGUUCUGACGGUACCCAAAGAAUAAGCACCGGCUAACUUCGUG